UUGGAGGGCAAGUCUGGUGCCAGCAGCCGCGGUAAUUCCAGCUCCAAUAGCGUAUAUUAAAGUUGUUGCAGUUAAGAAGCUCGUAGUUAAAUUUCGGGGUUAGUAGGUUGGUCAUGCCUCUGGUACGUACUGGUCUCACUGAUUCCUCCUUCCUUAUGAACCGUAAUGCCAUUAAUUUGGUGUUGCGGGAAAUUUGGACUGUUACUUUGAAAAAAUUAGAGUGUUUAAAGCAAGCUAACGCUUGAAUACAUUAGCAUGGAAUAAUGAAAUAGGACGUUCGAUCCUAUUUUGUUGGUUUCUAGGAUUGACGUAAUGAUUAAUAGGGAUAGUUGGGGGCAUUAGUAUUCAAUUGUCAGAGGUGAAAUUUUUGGAUUUAUUGAAGACUAACUACUGCGAAAGCAUUUGCCAAGGAUGUUUUCAUUAAUCAAGAACGAAGGUUAGGGGAUCGAA
RNAcentral lists this ribosomal RNA (450 nucleotides) under Rhizophagus irregularis. RNAcentral describes it as "SSU rRNA". It matches the Rfam family "Eukaryotic small subunit ribosomal RNA", at positions 548 to 1002 of the family's 1831-position model. The record is from RNAcentral. Lineage: Eukaryota; Fungi; Glomeromycota; Glomeromycetes; Glomerales; Glomeraceae.